RNAcentral lists this ribosomal RNA (484 nucleotides) under uncultured bacterium. RNAcentral describes it as "partial 16S ribosomal RNA". It matches the Rfam family "Bacterial small subunit ribosomal RNA", at positions 29 to 507 of the family's 1533-position model. The record is from RNAcentral.
AUUGAACGCUGGCGGCAUGCUUUACACAUGCAAGUCGAACGGCAGCGCGGGCUUCGGCCUGGCGGCGAGUGGCGAACGGGUGAGUAAUACAUCGGAACGUGCCCAGUAGUGGGGGAUAGCUCGGCGAAAGCCGGAUUAAUACCGCAUACGACCUGAGGGUGAAGGCGGGGGAUCUUCGGACCUCGCGCUAUUGGAGCGGCCGAUGGCAGAUUAGCUAGUUGGUGGGGUAAAGGCCUACCAAGGCGACGAUCUGUAGCUGGUCUGAGAGGACGACCAGCCACACUGGGACUGAGACACGGCCCAGACUCCUACGGGAGGCAGCAGUGGGGAAUUUUGGACAAUGGGCGAAAGCCUGAUCCAGCAAUGCCGCGUGUGUGAUGAAGGCCUUCGGGUUGCAAAGCACUUUUGGCGGGAACGAAAAGGACUGUGCCAAUACCACGGUUCGAUGACGGUACCCGCAGAAUAAGCACCGGCUAACUACGUG